UUAUGCUUUAAGCUAUCAACCAACAACACAUCUUCAAUAAAAAUAUUGGAUUUGUUACCUAUAGUUCCUUUACCAAUGAUUUGACCCUUGUUGUUGUCUCCGAAGGUGACAUAUCCUUCAUCUAGGCUUAUGAUGUAACACCCCUCAAUUCCGAAUGUUCGUAUAAAUUUUUGGUGAUAAUGUAAGCAUCUAUUUUAAUUGACAAAAGAAAUAGAGUAUGAAUCAGAGGUAACUUAUUUUUAAGAUUUGGGAGAUCUGUUCAAAAAAAAAAAAAAAAAAAAAAAAAAAAGAAAGAAUCUGAGGACCUAUAUGUAAACCCUAAGGACCUAAUCGUGAAUAUGAUAAAAACAAGGACUAAACUGCAAAAUGCACCAAAUGACAAAUUCCACCGCUUAAGCCUCUCUGCCUUCGUUGUUAAGGAAGCAGAGGAGGCAGCUCGUGGGUGAUCAGGGAAAGAAAAGAAGAAGAAGAAGAAGAAGAAGAAGAAGGAGAAGAGAAAGAAAAUUUGGGGCUUUUAGGGUUUUUGCUUUAAUCUUGUUACUUCGGGUCAAAAUUUGCAAAGGAUAGCGUAACUCUUGCUUAAAUGUUAAGAAUGGGCUGAGGCAGCGGAAAGUUUAGAAGACGUUGGGCAGAACUUUUGUUAGCAUAUAUGUAGUUGUGUAUAAGCUACCUUGCAUCUAAUGAAAUGUGACUAUGAAUCUAAACCUGUGGAUUUUGUGUAAGUUAAAGGAUCCCUCAUGUAUAGGGUUUUGGAAUGUUAAAUUAAAUUGUGUAAUGAUAUGAACUUAUGGUAAAUCGAUGAUUGUGGUGACUGCA
This is a long non-coding RNA of Musa acuminata AAA Group (dessert banana), 816 nucleotides long. RefSeq lists it as uncharacterized. The transcript has 2 exons. NCBI's taxonomy places the organism in Eukaryota, Viridiplantae, Streptophyta, Magnoliopsida, Zingiberales, Musaceae. The record is from RefSeq and is a predicted model, not a curated record.